CAAGUUGCAGAGUCACUUGACCUCAAAAAGAAGAUUUGACAGCAAGUUGAAAGGAAAACUUGUCUUUUAAUUCAUUGGCACAAGCGACAGCUAAAGGAUUGCAGUUGCGUAAAUGAAUGAUCUCUAUCCAAGAGUGGUCAUACGGCCAAUCGAGCUGUUGUAAUUUGUAGCAAUGACUCAUGCUUAGUCUACGAAGGUUCGGGAAGCUUCCACGUUGAGGUCUCCAUCGCACCAAAUCGGUGUCUUGAAUUUGAAGUUCAAUAAGUUUCAAAAAANACAGAUAAAAAAAAUUAACUUAAUUUUAUUGUUGCGUCAAGUUAGGCCGAUUUGAUCAUCGAUAGAGACCACAAUCAGAAUUCCCAUGAUUUGAACUAUAGAACCUCCAAAAUAUUACUCCCUCCGUUCCAAACGAAAUGUCUUGUUUCCUUUUUGGGCUGUUCCAAACGAAAUGUCAUGUUUCAUUUUUUGGCAAUACACACUCUCUCUAUACUUAAUAUUUAGAUAAUUUACAUCAACCCACUUUAUCUACUUUAUACACAUUUCUUAAUCUCCGUAUCGAAAAAAAUAGGAUAUUUCGUUUGGGACGGAGAGAGUACUUUCCAAUACGCCAUCGAUUUGACAUUUACAGAAUUAGGGUAUCGUCAACUAUUCGAAGCGAACUUUUAUGUGUCAGAUUGUGAAAUUAGUUUGAUGAUUUUGAAUUAAGCUCAAGAAAUGGCUAUUCCGAAUAUGGCCUUAGUUUUAGCAAUAAAUGAUCGAAUUGAUUAGGACUGAUGAUAAAAUAGAUGAAAAUUAAUUUUUUGAGUAAUUAUAUAAAAUUAUACCUACCAAUGUAUUUUAAUUUGUCCAUAAUUAUUGAAUUUCAUGCUAAAAACAAUUUUAUAAAUAUAACAUCCUAACUUUAGGUUAUAUCAUGAUUCAAGCGAAGACUUCCAACCUCCCAAUAGGUUGAGUAAGGCAAAAAUGUCAAUAGUGUGAAACUUCUAAUCCUUAUAUUCAAGAUGACUAGGAAAAUAUUCAGGUAUAGUAAACUAAAUAUAUAUAAUCCUAUCCUCCUAUGGAUAAAUAUCAAGACUUCAAUGCCCUAACUUCUAGUAACUAAUAAAUUCUCAUUUUUCUGAUGAGAUCCUUUAUCUCACAUUUUAUUCUAUCUCAUUGUGUCUUAUUAUCAAAUUUAUUAUUUUAUAACUAUUUAUUAUAAAAAUAAAAAUAUUGUUAUAUAAUAAAUUAGAAUUAAUAUUUAUCACUAAAAAUCAUUUUUUAAAAAUAUAUAUAUACUCUUCUUUUCACUACAUAAAAUUCAUCAAAUAUUACAUUAAUUAAAACUUAUGUCAAACUAAAUCAUCAUAGUUUUCAUAAAUCAUAAAUCGGAGGGAGUAAUAUGUACUAAGAAAACAUAAGGGAAUGGGUGGAAUAAAUAAUAGUUUGCAAUUAUGGGAUAUGAGAAAAUUAAUGUUGGAAUGGGCAAAUGGGAUCAAAAGCCAACAGCUCUCAAUACCAGAUCUCGAUGCAAAGCAUGUGGGAAUAGUGAUGGUGUUUCAGACGAUGUCGAUUGUUCUAUAAUUUUUUGUGUCUCGAUAUUAUAUCUGUCUCGUUUUGAACCAAUUUAAUAAAGUCUUAAGAUGCAUUCUUUUUUAUGAAAAAUGAUGAAAUACAUAUAUUUUUCCCCCCCUUUUUCCACACACAUUCUCUUAGUUAAAAUUCCAUAUUAUGUUAAAAUAUCACUUUUCAUAUAACAAGAUAACCGGUGGAAUAUCUAAAGUGCCAUGGAUUUUGAAUGUCUUUUUAAAGAAAUUGAGUUGAAUUUGAUGCCUUUUAAUUUAUAGUGAGGCAGAAUUUAAAUGAUAAAUGAUGGAGUUGGGCCUUGAUUUUGCUUUGGGCCGAAAUUUUGCUUACUAUAUCGAGAAGCCCAAUUGGUCUAUGUUAAUUGAUAGGUAAUGGGUUAGCUGAUAAAUGCUUUAGAAAUUUUAUGAAUGAUAAUUAAUGAAUUAUUUUCUUCUUUGACAACAAGAGCUCUUAAUCAGAUUCUCUUCAUAGCUAAAUCAACAACAUCUCUGCAGUUAUUUAUUUACAAUAGAGAAGAACAAACUUAAUUACCACAAUAAUUUUGUUAAUACAAACUCCCACCAAAUCAUGGCUUUUCAGCAAACAACUUUUAAAUUAAAAAAUCCACAUAGAGACUCACCGGCAGCAGGGGAAGCAACUCUGAAUUGCAAAACGACGACGUACCUUCACUUGUAAAACAUGUUUUCACAUAAAUCCUUGAACAAGGGACUAAUGUUUUCACACUAAUCCAACUUUCAAACAGUUUUGGUUACAAACACAAUCCAGCAUUCAGGUUUUCAUAACCAUCGACAAAAUCCUUCGAUGGGCUCUUUCAUUUGCCUGAAAAUCGAUAGAUGGACAAUCUCAAACACUGUGACUAUAACAGAAACAUUAAGACGUAAUAUUGCAAAGUAGUAACACUAACCUGUUUGGCAAGUCGCAGACUCACUUGACCUCAAAAAGAAGAUUUGACAAGAAGUCGAAAGGAAAACUUGUCUUUUAAUUCAUUGGCACAAGCAACGGCUAAAGGAUUGCACUCGACUAAAUUAAUGAUCUCUAUCCAAGAGUGAUCAUAUGGCCAAUCGAGCUGUUGUAAUUUGUAGCAAUCCCACAUGCUUAGUCUACGAAGCAUCGGGAAGCUUCCACGUUGAGGUCUCCAUCGCACCAAAUCGGUGUCGAAAAUUCGAAGCUCAAUAAGUUUCAAAAAACUCCCUGGUGUUAUGUCCCACUCGGGGCCUCGAAAUGCAUAGUGUUUUAAUAUGAGAAUCUCGAGAUUUGGCAGCAGCGAACCAAUGUCAUUCAUGUAAUUCCAAGGAUAUCCCCCUAACCCAGACAAACGUAACACCUUGAGACUUGAUGGAAACAUUGAAAGAGGAAUCGUAUUACACUCAUACUCUAUCUUGGGAUUCUUAACCCAAUAUUCAAGUUUCUCCAAAUUCUGGAGUUGGGAG
RNAcentral lists this long non-coding RNA (2996 nucleotides) under Salvia miltiorrhiza (redroot sage). Its description in RNAcentral is "long non-coding RNA (SMIL_LNC006719)". The record is from RNAcentral. Lineage: Eukaryota; Viridiplantae; Streptophyta; Magnoliopsida; Lamiales; Lamiaceae.